UGAGGCGUUGAGCUAACCCGUACUAAUUGCUCGUGAGGCUUGAUCAUAUAA
RNAcentral lists this ribosomal RNA (51 nucleotides) under Gammaproteobacteria bacterium. RNAcentral describes it as "partial 23S ribosomal RNA". The record is from RNAcentral. Lineage: Bacteria; Pseudomonadati; Pseudomonadota; Gammaproteobacteria.